This 770-nucleotide ribosomal RNA is filed under the name uncultured Russula. RNAcentral's name for it is "partial 28S ribosomal RNA". It matches the Rfam family "Eukaryotic large subunit ribosomal RNA", at positions 200 to 949 of the family's 3401-position model. Lineage: Eukaryota; Fungi; Basidiomycota; Agaricomycetes; Russulales; Russulaceae. The record is from RNAcentral.
GCGUCAUAGAGGGUGAGAAUCCCGUCUUUGGCACGGAAACCCCAGGGCUUUUGUGAUGCGCUCUCGAAGAGUCGAGUUGUUUGGGAAUGCAGCUCAAAAUGGGUGGUGAACUCCAUCUAAAGCUAAAUAUUGGCGAGAGACCGAUAGCGAACAAGUACCGUGAGGGAAAGAUGAAAAGCACUUUGGAAAGAGAGUGAAACAGUACGUGAAAUUGUUGAAAGGGAAACGCUUGAAGUCAGUCGCGUCGACCGAGACUCAGCCUUGCCCUUGGCUUGGUGUACUUCUCGGCUGACGGGUCAGCAUCAAUUUUGCCCCUUGGAUAAUGGCGAGGGAAAUGUGACACCUUUACGGUGUGUUAUAGUCUCUUGUCGCAUGCAAGGGUUGGGAUUGAGGAACUCAGCACGCACCUUUGGGUGUCGGGGCUUUGCCCACGAUACGUGCUUAGGAUGUUGGCGUAAUGGCUUUAAACGACCCGUCUUGAAACACGGACCAAGGAGUCUAACAUGCCUGCGAGUGUUCGGGUGGAAAACUCGUGCGCGCAAUGAAAGUGAAAGUUGGGACCUCUGUCGUGGAGGGCACCGGCGCCCGGACCAGACCUUCUGUGACGGCUCUGCGGUAAAGCAUGUAUGUUAGGACCCGAAAGAUGGUGAACUAUGCCUGAAUAGGGUGAAGCCAGAGGAAACUCUGGUGGAGGCUCGUAGCGAUUCUGACGUGCAAAUCGAUCGUCAAAUUUGGGUAUAGGGGCGAAAGACUAAUCGAACCAUCUAGUA